RNAcentral lists this ribosomal RNA (2943 nucleotides) under Pertusaria plittiana. Its description in RNAcentral is "LSU rRNA". It matches the Rfam family "Bacterial large subunit ribosomal RNA". Lineage: Eukaryota; Fungi; Ascomycota; Lecanoromycetes; Pertusariales; Pertusariaceae. The record is from RNAcentral.
AAGUAUACAAAGAAAUUAUUAUGAAAUCACAGCUAUUUAUCAAAGAGAGUAAUUUAGUUAGUACCCAUAAUAAUGGUGGAAGAUGCUAUAAACUCUAAGAGAAAUUAAUUAAUAAACGAAGUGAAUUGAAAUAUCUUAUUAACUUCAGGAAAAGAAAUCAAAUGAGAUUCUACGAUUAGUGUGAAUGAAAGUAGAUAAAGCCUAUAUAUUUAUUUCUUUGUGGUAAAGUAGUAAAGUAGUAAAUUAAAUAAGUAAAAUGGAGUACAUACCUAUUUGAACAUAAGGGGAACCUUCCUCUAAGGCUAAAUAUGAUAAAUAAGCGAUAGCGAAACAAAAAAAGUACCGUGAGGGAAAUUGAUUGAAAUAGUAAUUUUAUAAGCAGCUCAUAUAAAGUUUAAAUAAAAUAUAGAGCGUACCUUUUGCAUAAUGGGUCAGCAAGUUAAUAUUGGAUGCAAGCGUCUAAAAGAGUUGUUAUUUGUAUAUGGGAAGGAUUAUAUUUAGGCGCUGAAUCCCUAAAUAUAAUUUUUUUUAAUGUGCAAAUACUAAUUCCUAGUAAAUGCGAAGACAAAGCAGUUAUAAUAUAAUGAUUAGUAUCCAAGAUUAGACCCGAAGCCUAGUGAUCUUACCAUGAUCAGGGUUAUAAAAGCCCGUAUCGUUGUAAAGAUAUCCAAAGAAUUGUGGUAAGUUAGUGAAAGACAAAACUGACUAGGAUAGCUGGUGACUGUUUCUGCGAAACCUAUAUAAGUAGGUAAUUUAAAUUACAUCAUAGCAGGUACAGAAUUGUGAUCUCAAAGAACUUGCAUACUAUUACUAUAAAAAAAAGCGCACAGUUUUUGUUUUUUUUAAUAAUAUGACAUUUUACCCAAUGGGGGGGUGUAAAAACCCUAUUCGUGAGUAUUUGCACUCGAAAGGGCUAUGAUUGUAGUGAAUAAUCAGACAUAGUACGAUAAGGUUGUAUGUCUAAAGGGAAACAGCCCAGAACAAGAGUUAAUAAGGUUCCAAAAUUAUUGUUAAGUGAAAAUAAGGUAGUGUUUAUCUUAUUCGACUAGGAAAUAGGCUUGGAAGCGGCCAUUUUUUGAAGAUCUCGUAAAAGAGCACUAGUUUUUAAUGGAUAAUUGCACCAAAAAUUUAACGGAUCUAAACAAUAUACCGACACCUUGUACAUAAAUAGUUAUGUAUCUUAGUUAUACAUAAUAUAUAUGGGGUAGCAGAACGUAGGGCAAAUAUUCGAUUAUUUCUUUUUAAGAACUAAAAUUAUAUUACCCUAGUGAUAAUGCUGACAUGAGUAACGAUAAAGGGAAUAUUCCCUCGCCUAAAGCUUAUGGUAUUCUAUUAAAGUAACGGCCUCUAAGUUUAUUAUUAUAGUCCUAAAGGACUAAACGAUGAGAAAAUCUUGAUGUUUAUAUAAAUAACCUUAAGUAUGAAAAAUAUGCAUAUACUUAAGAAAUAGUAAGCGAGUAGUGCGUUAAGUGUAUAUAUUGACUGAAAAAUUAUGCUCCGCUUUAUGCAAGGCAAAAAAUAAAUUAUUUUUAUUAAAAUAUUCGUUGCAUAUGUUUGCAGAAGAUCUAUUUCUUAAAAGCAUUUUUUUUUAUAAGUGACGUAGGUUCUGGAAAAUAUUCUAUUCAGCAACCGUACCUAGAUACUACCCCAAGUAAGUUAGUAGAGAAUACGAAGGCGUUUGAGUGAACAAUCAUUAAGGAACUCGGCAAAAUGGCUCACGUAAUUUCGAGAUAAGGAGCGCCACUACUCUUGAUUAAUAUCAGGUAAAGAGGAGGAGGCAUAGAAUGGUGUUGUACGACUGUUUAAUUAAAACAAAGCACGCUGCGAAGAUAUAAAUCAAUGUAUUGAGUGUGAGCUCUGCCCGAUGCGGGCUGGUUAUCGGAUUUGCUUAGUUGACUUAGAUAAGCUAGGUUUUGAAGGAACCCCCUGUUAAUGGCGGCCUUAGCUAUAAGGGUCCUAAGGUAGCGGAAUACCCUGGCCGUUAAAUGCGGUCUUGCAUGAAUGACAUAACGAUACAACAGCUGUCUCAAUGAUUGGCUCAGUGAAAUUGGAAUAACUGUGCAGAUACAGUUUACCUCUAGAUAGACGAGAAGACCCUAUGCAGCUUUACUGUUGCUAGUUAUUGGGUAUGCCAAAAUGAUUCAUAAGGUAAUUGAUCAGAUUUAAUGAAACGCCUUUAUUUAUUUAUCAUACUAGAUCACCGGUUAUAUGUGGUAUAAUGCAAACAUAUUGUGUCUAAUGGCAUGUGUUGAUCUCUAACCACAAUAUUUUAUUUUUUAUAACAUGGAAAAUAAAAUAGGUGGAACAAUUGCUAGGUGGCGGUUUAUGAAUCUUGCUUUACUGAUUGACUCACACGUCUUUCAGUCGCGUAAGCGGGGCAUAUGAUCACAAGACGCUGAAUGGAAAGGUCUUGGAUUUUUGAAAAAGCUACGCUAGGGAUAACAGGCUAAUUGCGCAAGAGAGUUCAAAUUGAGUGCGCAGUUUGGCACCUCGAUGUCGGCUUAGCUUAUCCACAUGAAUGUAGGAAUCAUGAAGGGUUGGACUGUUCGUCCAUUAAAAAGCUACACGAGCUGGGUUAAAUACGUCGUGAGACAGUAUGGUUUCUAUCUUCUAGAGGAAAUUAGAGUAAAAUAAAAAUAGCCCCUUCGUACGAAAGGAGUUGGGUAUGUUAACCUAUGGUUUACCUGUUGUUUGUGUACCUAAUAUUAAUGUAAAAGCGAAGUUUUUGUAUAAUUAAAAUAUAUUUGUUUGCAAAGGUAGUUACUAUUCACUAUAGUAAAAUUUAGCACAGGCACGGCAGGAAAGCUAAGUUAAUUAAUGAUAAGUACUGAAAGCAUAUAGGUACGAAACUUAAUUUAAGAUACUCUUAUAUAAACGUAAUUUAACAUUACGACUUUUUAUUUAACUUACUUAUAUAUUAGGUUAAAUAUUAAUAGGCUUUAG